AUAAUAAUUAGUCUUUUAAUUGGAGGCUGGAAUGAAAGAUUGGACGAGAUAAAUGCUGUCUCAAUUAAAUUAUAAUUUAAUUUAAUUUUUAAGUAAAAAAGCUUAAAUAUAAUUAAAGGACGAGAAGACCCCAUAGAGUUUUAUUUUAGAUUAUUAUUUUUUAUAAAAUUGAGUUAAAUUAUGGUUUAAAAUUUUGUUGGGGUGAUAGAAAAAUUUAAUAAACUUUUUUAAAAUUUAAACAAAGAUUAUUGGAAUUUUGAUCCUAAAUUUUAGAUUAUUAGAUUAAGUUACCUUGGGGAUAACAGCGUUAUUUUUUUUAGAAGUUCAUAUUAAUAAAAAAGAUUGC
This 346-nucleotide ribosomal RNA is filed under the name Perga affinis. RNAcentral's name for it is "partial 16S ribosomal RNA". The record is from RNAcentral. Lineage: Eukaryota; Metazoa; Arthropoda; Insecta; Hymenoptera; Pergidae.